AUUGGGUUUAAAGUGCACGCAGGCGGUUUGUUAAGUCAGAUGUGAAAUCCCCGGGCUCAACCUGGGAACUGCAUCUGAUACUGGCAAGCUUGAGUCCCGUAGAGGGGGGUAGAAUUCCAGGUGUAGCGGUGAAAUGCGUAGGGAUCUGGAGGAAUACCGGUGGCGAAGGCGGCCCCCUGGACGAAGACUGACGCUCAGGUGCGAAAGCGUGGGGGAGCAAACAGGAUUAGAUACCCGGGUAG
Molecule: ribosomal RNA, 242 nt
Filed under: uncultured Pseudomonadota bacterium
Lineage: Bacteria; Pseudomonadati; Pseudomonadota
Description: uncultured proteobacterium partial 16S ribosomal RNA
Rfam family: Bacterial small subunit ribosomal RNA
Source: RNAcentral